GUACAAGUCUAGAUACAUCCUAAGUCGAUGGUCAUGUUUCUAUCCUGAUAAGAUGCCCCAGGAUUCUAACAUUAGAAAGGUGUUAUCUAGAGACUUUAGUGCAUACUUUAGAAAUUCUAUACUUACGGUGGAAUUAUACCAAACUGGAAAAGCAAUCUGAUGUUGAUUAGUAGCGAUUGCACUAGGUAAUGAGCAACUACAGACCCUGAAUCAAAAAAAAGGAUUUGUAUUUUCUUUCUAAGAAAUAUAGUUGAGAUACCAUUUUUGAGGUUUAUAAAUAAAAUCUCUCAUACUUGGAUGUGAUAACGAGAGGCUUGAUAACAUAUGACUAGUCUUGUUGACAUAGUAUUAUCACUAAAAAUAUGGGAUCCUCUAUGGUUGCAUUACAAAGUGCAGUACUAUUAUGGAUAGCUGCAGCAUCAUCUAUCUUGAAAAUGGAUGGCUCUUUUUCAUUAUCGCGAUGCAUUGUGUAUCAUAUUAAAAAUUUGUUGAAAAUAUUUUGACUACAAACUACUAUAUUUUUAUUUUAUAUAAGUAUU
RNAcentral lists this long non-coding RNA (539 nucleotides) under Phoenix dactylifera (date palm). RNAcentral's name for it is "long non-coding RNA (PDAC_LNC002899)". Lineage: Eukaryota; Viridiplantae; Streptophyta; Magnoliopsida; Arecales; Arecaceae. The record is from RNAcentral.